RNAcentral lists this unclassified non-coding RNA (149 nucleotides) under uncultured fungus. RNAcentral's name for it is "sequence contains ITS1, 5.8S rRNA gene". Lineage: Eukaryota; Fungi. The record is from RNAcentral.
UAGUGUGGGGCCUCGAGCCCCUAGGAGAGAUAACACCCUUGACCUUUCAAGCACCUUCUGUUUCCUCGGCGGGCUCGCCCGCCAGUGGACAACAACCAAAAACUCUUUUGCAAUAGCAGUAUCCUCUGAUAAAGCAAAUCAAAAAGUUA